Magnolia sinica is the source of this 761-nucleotide long non-coding RNA. RefSeq lists it as uncharacterized. The transcript has 3 exons. The record is from RefSeq and is a predicted model, not a curated record. NCBI's taxonomy places the organism in Eukaryota, Viridiplantae, Streptophyta, Magnoliopsida, Magnoliales, Magnoliaceae.
UCAACCAGUUCAAAACCUGAACCAAAUCAACCCAAGCUCGUCCCGCUAAAAGCUCCAUGCCUUACUACUUGGAAGAAUGAGAAAAUUUGCACCAAGAGCUUGAAGGAUUCCUAACUAUGUUCAUGUUUACUUUGCAAGUCUCAUGAAGCAAGGUUGGAUCUGCCACUUUCUUUGGACUUGUAUACGUACUCAGCAUAUUCUUUAAAAGGUUUGAAGGUGUUUUUCCGUUCAAAUUCAUAUAUCAUGUAUCUGAUGUUAAUUUUAGAGAACAAUCACACUAAUUAAUCAUGAAUUUGUGGUGCAGCUACAAGUAGUUUCAGAGAUCAUGACUGAUUCCGAUCAUGUGAUAUUGGGAGCUGGAAGUAGUUUGAUGGUUGAAAUUGACCACUGCCUGUUUGUGUGUCUAAAUUUUCAAAUACUUCCAUGCUGAAUUGUCUGGUGAAAUAUUGUGUUGUCCAUCCAUUCAGAGAACAAAUGGAAGACAAACGCUUUCCAGUGAAGGAUUUUAAUCAAUUGUGCAAGCACUUCAGCCUUUUGAUGCCACUCUUGUUAGGAGUAGACCACGUAGAGGAUUUGUUUUUUGUUUUUAUUUUUAUUUUUUAAAUAUAUAUUCAAGACCAUAUUCAAUUUAUUGUUGUAAAUAUUAUAUUUUUUUUUAUUGUGAAGUAAUAUAAAUUUUGUUUAAUAUUCAAUUUUAAUUGUAUUGCAACAUUUUUUAUGUUUCAAAUAUUAAAAAAAUACAGGUUUCAAUUGAAUUAUAU